GUAAAAAUUUCAGGUCAAUUGGACUUAUUUUGAGUGAGUUAUGGUCAUGCUAAUGACUACUGUUUAUAUGGUCAAAAAUUCUAGCCUGCACUUACCUAUUUCGGAUUUGGUCAAUUCUUAUGUCACUUUGUGGACAGAUUUUAGGUAGGCUUCCUUCAUGAAAGUUGGCACAGUUUGUGCCUAGUUUCACCUCUAAUUGGUCUCAUACCAAUUGAAGUCACACAUUUAAGGUUCUAAUCUAAAACAUACACUGCCCUGCUACACAUUCUUCAUCACUUACCAAUUACACAUUCAAUACUUACCAAGUUUACCUUUCAAGCCAAUUAUAAUUUGGUACCAUAACAUUAACACACUUUACAUCACAUUUUGGUCAUUUUGGGCAGCUUGUAACCACUCUCAACAUACACAUUAUAACUCAGAAUUUUCAAAGUCUAAUUACAACAAUUUAACCACAUGAACAUACCUCAUUUAUAUGUCUAAAUCCAAACAAUUAUACACAUACACAUGCUGCCACCAUAAGCACCAUAAUUCAACAAACCAUUCCAUGAAAAUACCCAUUUCUAACCACACUUAAAAGUUGCCGAAUUGCACAUCUCCUUCAAAUAGAUUCCAAGCUUCCAAAACCAAGUGC
Molecule: unclassified non-coding RNA, 631 nt
Filed under: Hevea brasiliensis (rubber tree)
Lineage: Eukaryota; Viridiplantae; Streptophyta; Magnoliopsida; Malpighiales; Euphorbiaceae
Source: RNAcentral